This 522-nucleotide long non-coding RNA is filed under the name Phasianus colchicus (ring-necked pheasant). RNAcentral's name for it is "lncRNA (ENSPCLG00000015841.1)". Lineage: Eukaryota; Metazoa; Chordata; Aves; Galliformes; Phasianidae. The record is from RNAcentral.
GGCAUUUAUGGCCCUCCGAAAGAUCACUGUUAUACUGCAGAAAUACCAAGUUACUAAAAAGCUACUGAAAGGCCACUCAACCUCAGCUCUUCCUUGCCUCUUGCUUUCAGUCAGCACGGAAUGCUUCACUUUUUGGGAGCUGGGUUUUCUCUGCGUGACAGAAAUGCUUUUUCCACAUUGUGGAUUUAUCUGUUGUCUUCACUGCUUUGCAACCGGUUUUGCUCUCAGCUCUCAAAGGAGGUCAGCCUACUUCCUGGCAGGAUCACCGUACUCCAGAAGAAAUGGGAUGUUAAAGGGGAGAAAAAGCACCAAACAGGACAAUUUCAUCAGUCCUCAAUGAGCUCCCCACCAAAAAGGCCAGCAGCACCAGCUUUUCUGCUGUUUUGCCCCAAACUGUGCUUCCUCAUGGAUCUAUGGGAUUUCUGCUGCAAGCAAGACCCUAAUUAUACUACACUACACUGCCAUCAGCCCAGGGGUCAGUUUAAAAGGGUUUUGUUUUUGCGUUUUUUUUUCCUAAUGUAG